AGGCUCUUCGCAAUUUGAAGAAGAAAGAACAUAUUGUGUGAAAAUCUUUGACUCGGUCAAAUUUUAUCCAGUUGUUUAUAAAACUGUUGUUAUCUGAUUCAUGUAAUUUUUCAGUGUUGAUUUAAAAGCCCAAAAAACCCAUCUAUACUGACUUUUUGAUAUUUUUUCUGUGAUUUGAAUUUAAAAAGAGAUAAAACUUUCGAUAAGUUAUGUAAACUCAGAACAAGUAUUUAGCUUUAGAAAGCAUUUACAUGUUUCAAACUUAUAAAAUUUACAUAUAUAAUGUUUAAAAUUAUGCAUAUAAAUCCUGUGUAAAAUGUGCAUGAAUAUGUUUCUCUUCUUUAAUGUGUUAAUCGUACUAUAUAUAACAUUAUUUUAAAAUUUUAAAAAGUUUAUGUCACAUACAAAAAACCAUCAAUAAAAAAUAUAAUUCUCCAUCUACAACAAGAAAAAUAAAAAAUUAUAAACAUAUAAAUUAAAAUUAAAAAAAAACUAAUAUUGAAAAAACAAGAAGUUAAUGUAAAAGAAAAAGACUGACAAAUAUUAUUAUAAAUAAAAUAAAUUUAUAAGACACAAUCCGCGCGAAGCGCGGAAAAAAAUCUCUAGUAAUUUUAAUGAAAACUAAGGCAAAUUUUAAAAUUAACUUAUUACAACUAUAAUGAAAACAAUUUUGCAAUAUGAUAUAUCGAUCUUACCAAAUACACAAAUCUAACGCUGUAAAAAAUAAAUUUAUGCUAUAUUAUGUCAUAUAAGAAAAAAAUAUAUGAAUUCAGAAAGUUAGUUAGUCUACCAUGUGAAAAGAGUUUUUUAAAAAUAAGUCUAAACUAUUAGAUUAUAAAGUAUUUUAAAUUUUGGAGCCCUAAAAAUAUUCAUAUUAAUCGAGGGUCUAAGGCAAAUGUUUUUUUUAAUACACUGCAGGCACGCCUUUG
RNAcentral lists this long non-coding RNA (929 nucleotides) under Brassica rapa (field mustard). RNAcentral's name for it is "long non-coding RNA (BRAP_LNC004076)". Lineage: Eukaryota; Viridiplantae; Streptophyta; Magnoliopsida; Brassicales; Brassicaceae. The record is from RNAcentral.